GUUGGCUGAAAUUGAAAAUGUGGAAGCCAUAGACAGAGAGCUGGCUACAGGCCAUCUUCUAGAGAUUAGAAUUAUUCAUGGCCACAUGAAGGCAUGUGAGUGUGCACGGCAAGACCUGUGUAGUCCAUUUAGUCCCAAGGGCCUCAAACCUCAUUGCUCCUGAACCACUCAGAUAUGAGAAUCCAGGUUCCACCAGGGUAGAAAAUGCUUUUGUGGGAGACACACCUGCCCAGAUUCAUUCAUUCAAGCGGUGGGAGAAGCCCUGGUGUUCCAGUCUCAAAGGUUUUGCGACUGUGGCAAACAUCCAGAAGAAAUGGUUUGAAGGAAGGAGGAUUCCUUUUGGCUCACUGCUUCUGAGGUAUCAGUCCCUGGUCACCUGGGUCUGAGGAACACUUGUGGACAGCACAGCAUCAAAACUGCAUCAAGAGACUCGAUUGCCAUAAGAAUUAAUGACCAUCCUACCGUCUACCUGAAUAUAGCUGCAACUAGGCUCCUCAGGAACUCCACACAAGCUUUGCCUCUGUGGCUCUGGCAGGAUGGAAUCUGGCUAGAUUCCCCCACUCCUACCCCAAUUCCCAUCCUUCCAUCCUCCCAACCCCCCACCCCCUGGAUGGGUGCCUGCAAAGCCCUUUCUUUUCCUGAUACUCUUUAAGGUGAGGCACUGGCCACUGGCCACACUGGCUGACUGUGGAACUGGGCUUUUCCUCAAACUGGGCUUUAAGGUUCUUCCUCAAAGCGCUAUCUUGGGAUUCAGGAAUUACAAGGAGGGACAAGAAGAAGGCCAAGAGACCAUGGACAGGAAGGUGUGUUUCAAGCCAUCUUUACCACACAGGGCAUUGCCUUUUCUCUUUCCUGAACACUGCAAUGGGCCUUGGUCUCUC
This is a long non-coding RNA of Mastomys coucha (southern multimammate mouse), 881 nucleotides long. RefSeq lists it as uncharacterized. NCBI's taxonomy places the organism in Eukaryota, Metazoa, Chordata, Mammalia, Rodentia, Muridae. The record is from RefSeq and is a predicted model, not a curated record. The transcript has 3 exons.